RNAcentral lists this ribosomal RNA (428 nucleotides) under uncultured bacterium. Its description in RNAcentral is "bacterial SSU rRNA". It matches the Rfam family "Bacterial small subunit ribosomal RNA", at positions 101 to 520 of the family's 1533-position model. The record is from RNAcentral.
AACGGGUGAGUAAUAAUCGGACGUACCAGAAGUUUGGGGUGGAUAACGUAGNCGAAAGUUACGCCUAAUACCGCAUACGAUCUAUGGAUGAAAGUGGGGGACCUUCGGGCCUCAUGCUUUUGGAGCGGCCGAUAUCUGAUUAGCUAGUUGGUGAAGGUAAAGGCUCACCAAGGCGACGAUCAGUAGCUGGUCUGAGAGGACGACCAGCCACACUGGGACUGAGACACGGCCCAGACUCCUACGGGAGGCAGCAGUGGGGAAUUUUGGACAAUGGGCGCAAGCCUGAUCCAGCAAUGCCGCGUGAGUGAAGAAGGCCUUCGGGUUGUAAAGCUCUUUUGUCAGGGAAGAAACGGCUCGGGUAUAAUACCUUGGGCUAAUGACGGUACCUGAAGAAUAAGCACCGGCUAACUACGUGCCAGCCGCCGCGG